Molecule: ribosomal RNA, 305 nt
Filed under: uncultured bacterium
Lineage: Bacteria
Description: bacterial SSU rRNA
Rfam family: Bacterial small subunit ribosomal RNA
Source: RNAcentral
GUCUACGGGGGGCAGCAGUGGGGAAUAUUGCACAAUGGGGGAAACCCUGAUGCAGCAACGCCGCGUGAGUGAGGAAGUAUUUCGGUAUGUAAAGCUCUAUCAGCAGGGAAUAGAAAAGAAGGUACCUGAAAAAGAAGCCCCGGCUAACUACGUGCCAGCAGCCGCGGUAAUACGUAGGGGGCAAGCGUUAUCCGGAUUUACUGGGUGUAAAGGGAGCGUAGACGGGAAUACAAGUUGGUUGUGAAAUCCCUCGGUUUAACUGAGGAACUGCAACAAAAACUAUAUUUCUUGAGUGCAGGAGAGGA